Molecule: ribosomal RNA, 449 nt
Filed under: uncultured bacterium
Lineage: Bacteria
Description: bacterial SSU rRNA
Rfam family: Bacterial small subunit ribosomal RNA
Source: RNAcentral
GUCGAGAAUUUUUCUCAAUGGGCGCAAGCCUGAAGGAGCGACGCCGCGUGGAGGAUGAAGGUCUUCGGAUUGUAAACUCCUGUCAUUAGGGAACAAAGCCUCCGGUUAACUGCCGGCAGGUCUGAUAGUACCUGAAGAGGAAGAGACGGCUAACUCUGUGCCAGCAGCCGCGGUAAUACAGAGGUCUCAAGCGUUGUUCGGAUUCAUUGGGCGUAAAGGGUGCGUAGGCGGCGAGGCAAGUCAGAUGUGAAAUCCCGGGGCUCAACCCCGGAACUGCAUUUGAUACUGCCUUGCUCGAGUACUGGAGAGGAGACUGGAAUUUACGGUGUAGCAGUGAAAUGCGUAGAUAUCGUAAGGAAGACCAGUGGCGAAGGCGAGUCUCUGGACAGUUACUGACGCUGAGGCACGAAGGCCAGGGGAGCAAACGGGAUUAGAAACCCCAGUAGUCC